RNAcentral lists this ribosomal RNA (252 nucleotides) under uncultured prokaryote. Its description in RNAcentral is "partial 16S ribosomal RNA". It matches the Rfam family "Bacterial small subunit ribosomal RNA", at positions 524 to 776 of the family's 1533-position model. The record is from RNAcentral.
UACGAAAGGAGCAGGUGUUAUUCGGAUUAACUGGGCGUAAAGGGCGCGUAGGUGGUUUGUUAUGUGUGUUAUUAAAUUAUAAAGCUUAACUUUAUGCUGUAGCAUAUACAAUUAAACUAGAGUUAGGAAGAGGGUAGUAGAAUUUCUAAUGUAAAGGUGAAAUUUGUUAAAAUUAGAGAGAAUACCAAUGGCGUAGGCAACUACCUGGUCCUUAACUGACAUUGAGGUGCGAAGGUAUGGGGAGCAAAUAGG